RNAcentral lists this ribosomal RNA (491 nucleotides) under uncultured bacterium. RNAcentral's name for it is "partial 16S ribosomal RNA". It matches the Rfam family "Bacterial small subunit ribosomal RNA", at positions 28 to 508 of the family's 1533-position model. The record is from RNAcentral.
GAUGAACGCUAGCGAUAGGCUUAACACAUGCAAGUCGAGGGGCAGCAUGGUCUUAGCUUGCUAAGACUGAUGGCGACCGGCGCACGGGUGCGUAACGCGUAUGCAACUUGCCUCACAGAGGGGGAUAACCCGUCGAAAGACGGACUAAUACCGCGUACACUCCAUCUUGGGCAUCCAAGGUAGAGGAAAUGAAAUUCGCUGUGAGAUAGGCAUGCGUCCCAUUAGCUAGUUGGUGAGGUAACGGCUCACCAAGGCGACGAUGGGUAGGGGAACUGAGAGGUUGAACCCCCACACUGGUACUGAGACACGGACCAGACUCCUACGGGAGGCAGCAGUGAGGAAUAUUGGUCAAUGGGCGAGAGCCUGAACCAGCCAAGUCGCGUGAAGGAUGACUGUCUUAUGGAUUGUAAACUUCUUUUAUACGGGAAUAACAAGAGUCACGCGUGACUCCCUGCAUGUACCGUAUGAAUAAGCAUCGGCUAACUCCGUGC